This 21-nucleotide non-coding RNA is filed under the name Caenorhabditis elegans. The record is from RNAcentral. Lineage: Eukaryota; Metazoa; Nematoda; Chromadorea; Rhabditida; Rhabditidae.
UAUGAAUUUUGAAAUUUCGAA